UUGUAAUUGGAAUGAUAGAAAUUUAAACCCUUUUUAAAGUAUCAAUUGGAGGGCAAGUCUGGUGCCAGCAGCCGCGGUAAUUCCAGCUCCAAUAGCGUAUAUUAAAAUUGUUGCAGUUAAAAAGCUCGUAGUUGAAGUUCUGCUAAAAGUAACCGGUCUGCUUUUAAUAAAGGUGGUAUCUUGGUGUGUAUUUAGCAAUGAUGUCCUUUGAAGUGUUUUUUACUUUAUUGUAAUAAAGCAUAUUCAGGACUUUUACUUUGAGAAAAUUAGAGUGUUUCUAGCAGGYUAACGCUUUGAAUACUGCAGCAUGGAAUAAUAAGAUAGGAUUUUAGUUUUACAUUAUUGGUUUUAAGAGCUAAAUUAAUGAUUGAUAGGGACAGUUGGGGGCAUUUGUAUUUAACUGUCAGAGGUGAAAUUCUUAGAUUUGUUAAAGACAAACUACUGCGAAAGCAUUUGCCAAAGAUGUUUUCAUUAAUCAAGAACGAAAGUUAGGGGAUCGAAGACGAUCAGAUACCGUCGUAGUCUUAACUAUAAACUAUGCCGA
This 544-nucleotide ribosomal RNA is filed under the name Hepatozoon canis. RNAcentral's name for it is "SSU rRNA". It matches the Rfam family "Eukaryotic small subunit ribosomal RNA", at positions 505 to 1056 of the family's 1831-position model. The record is from RNAcentral. Lineage: Eukaryota; Apicomplexa; Hepatozoidae.